GUCCACGCCGUAAACGAUGAGUGCUAGGUGUUGGGAGACUCAGUGCCGCAGUUAACACAUUAAGCACUCCGCCUGGGGAGUACGACCGCAAGGUUGAAACUCAAAGGAAUUGACGGGACCCGCACAAGCAGCGGAGCAUGUGGUUUAAUUCGAAGCAACGCGAAGAACCUUAUCAGGUCUUGACAUCCUCUGACCACCUAAGAGAUUAGGUCUUCCCUUCGGGGACAGAGAAACAGGUGGUGCAUGGUUGUCGU
RNAcentral lists this ribosomal RNA (254 nucleotides) under uncultured bacterium. RNAcentral describes it as "partial 16S ribosomal RNA". It matches the Rfam family "Bacterial small subunit ribosomal RNA", at positions 793 to 1055 of the family's 1533-position model. The record is from RNAcentral.